CUUCCCAGAUCAUAAUCCCAUACUGUAACCUCCAGCGUCUUAUGAACCAGUUCGGAUAGUGAGAUCUCAUAGAAGAACUCCUGUGGGUGGUUAAAUAUGACAUGUUGAUCAUCUGACUGACAGAAUAAAGAAACAUCAUACAAGCUUGGAACAACAUGAGGGGAUCGGAGAAACCAUUGACGUCCAUGGCGGCCAGAUGAGCGCAACGUUGCACUCCGACACACAAGCCCCCUCGUUGCCCCUCUCCGUCUCCCUCUUCAGGUGGGGGAACAAACUGCAACGUGAGCAACAGACGGCCUCUCUCUUCCAGACUGGUCAACUGUUCAUUCUCCCACUGCAGGAGAGAAACAUCAAAAUGAGAGGUAUGGACAUCCAAAGAGGAGAAGAUAUUGAUUUAUUCUGGCAUG
Paramisgurnus dabryanus is the source of this 407-nucleotide long non-coding RNA. RefSeq lists it as uncharacterized. Lineage: Eukaryota; Metazoa; Chordata; Actinopteri; Cypriniformes; Cobitidae. The record is from RefSeq and is a predicted model, not a curated record.